AAGUCAAUGGUUCGUUUCUUGGCACUGUGAGGCCAGCCCCAUUUGCCAUGUCCUCUUUCGGACCUUGUAGGCGCCAAAUAUCCCUCUACAGCUCUCCUCUUUCCUUUCUCGAACUGGGUUCUUUCCGUUCAAAAGGAUUCUCCAAGCUUGCCUUCAAUCUAAUUCAGCAAAUAAGGAUCUUGGAGUUCAGCUACCUGCUCAUCAAUCUGAAAUCAUAUUUAUUGGGACGGGAACUAGUGAAGGGAUUCCUCGUGUGAGCUGCCUAACAGAUCCUUUAAAGAAAUGUCCGGUUUGCACCAAAGCUGUGGAACCUGGUAAUAAAAAUAGGAGAC
This is a long non-coding RNA of Pistacia vera, 332 nucleotides long. RefSeq lists it as uncharacterized. NCBI's taxonomy places the organism in Eukaryota, Viridiplantae, Streptophyta, Magnoliopsida, Sapindales, Anacardiaceae. The transcript is spliced from 3 exons. The record is from RefSeq and is a predicted model, not a curated record.